GGACCCUAAGAAAAGAAAGAUUUCAUCAUUUGGGAAAGAAAAGUUGGGAAAAGAGAAGAGAAAAGAAAUUAAAAGAUUGUGAUUCCUGUGUCACUGUUUCUAGAGUCGAUGUACCAUUGCCUGUUGUGCAUUUUGAAGAAUUGGUUAAUAGGACUAAAAGCAAAUCAUUGUACACUUUUUCUAGCUACAAAAACUGUUGCAGAACAAGUUAUGUGUGUACUACUAUGAAGCUGUAGUUUACAGCAAUGGAGCAUAUAUACCGGUUAAGGAAAGGGAAAACACUCACCAUCUCAGUCUAUUUGUGCUUUAUAAAUUAACUUUUCCAUUAUGAGAAAUGGAGGCCUUGUCACUAUUUUCAUGUAUGUUUACUAGAGGGACAGAGCAGUUUUCUGAAAAGUUUGUAAAUGUGUGACUAUAAUUACACUCACAGUUUACAUGUAUUAUCAUGCCAUCCUUCUUGUUGUUAUAUUCUUCAGGUGGUAUCGUUUGCCGGAUACAUUUGGUAGCUCAUACUAUAAGGAUACUUUGUCCUAGUGGGUGUGGAAGUGAAAUUAGUUUUGAGGGUUCUAUAUGCUUUAUUUAGUGUAACAACUCAAGAUCUUUGAAUAUACUCAACCUAGACAUAGUAAGGAAGUGCCUCUGUGAACGAUGGAGCAAGGGAAUAACUUCAUUGGAAUGUAUAAUUGUUAGACUUGAUCACAG
This 702-nucleotide long non-coding RNA is filed under the name Amphimedon queenslandica. Its description in RNAcentral is "uncharacterized LOC109585128, transcript variant X1". The record is from RNAcentral. Lineage: Eukaryota; Metazoa; Porifera; Demospongiae; Haplosclerida; Niphatidae.